UAACGCGUGAGGAACCUGCCUUGAAGAGGGGGACAACAGUUGGAAACGACUGCUAAUACCGCAUGAAGCAUAGGGGUCGCAUGAUCUUUAUGCCAAAGAUUUAUCGCUUCAAGAUGGCCUCGCGUCUGAUUAGCUAGUUGGCGGGGUAACGGCCCACCAAGGCGACGAUCAGUAGCCGGACUGAGAGGUUGAACGGCCACAUUGGGACUGAGAUACGGCCCAGACUCCUACGGGAGGCAGCAGUGGGGAAUAUUGGGCAAUGGGCGCAAGCCUGACCCAGCAACGCCGCGUGAAGGAAGAAGGCUUUCGGGUUGUAAACUUCUUUUAAGAGGGAAGAGCAGAAGACGGUACCUCUAGAAUAAGCCACGGCUAACUACGUGCCAGCAGCCGCGGUAAUACGUAGGUGGCAAGCGUUGUCCGGAUUUACUGGGUGUAGAGGGCGUGCAGCCGGGUCUGCAAGUCAGAUGUGAAAUCCAUGGGCUCAACCCAUGAACUGCAUUUGAAACUGUAGAUCUUGAGUGUCGGAGGGGCAAUCGGAAUUCCUAGUGUAGCGGUGAAAUGCGUAGAUAUUAGGAGGAACACCAGUGGCGAAGGCGGAUUGCUGGACGAUAACUGACGGUGAGGCGCGAAAGUGUGGGGAGCAAACAGGAUUAGAUACCCUGGUAGUCCACACUGUAAACGAUGAAUACUAGGUGU
Molecule: ribosomal RNA, 696 nt
Filed under: uncultured bacterium
Lineage: Bacteria
Description: bacterial SSU rRNA
Rfam family: Bacterial small subunit ribosomal RNA
Source: RNAcentral